UUUUGACCGUGCAAAGGUAGCGUAAUCACUUGUCUUUUAAAUAGAGACCUGUAUGAAUGGCUAAACGAGGGCUUAACUGUCUCCCCUUUCAAGUCAGUGAAAUUGAUUUACCCGUGCAGAAGCGGGUAUAAUAAUACAAGACGAGAAGACCCUUUGGAGCUUAAGGUACAAAAAUCAACCACGUCAAGCAACUAAAUGAAAAGCAAAAACUUUAUGGAAUGUGAUACUUUACCUUCGGUUGGGGCGACCACGGAGGAAAAAAGAUCCUCCGAGUGGACCGGGACAAACCUCCUAAAACCAAGAGAAACACCUCUAAGCCACAGAACAUCUGACCAAACAUGAUCCGGCCAAAAAGCCGAUCAACGAACCAAGUUACCCUAGGGAUAACAGCGCAAUCCUCUCCCAGAGUCCAUAUCGACGAAGGG
RNAcentral lists this ribosomal RNA (425 nucleotides) under Barbus meridionalis (Mediterranean barbel). Its description in RNAcentral is "partial 16S ribosomal RNA". It matches the Rfam family "Bacterial large subunit ribosomal RNA", at positions 1940 to 2515 of the family's 2925-position model. The record is from RNAcentral. Lineage: Eukaryota; Metazoa; Chordata; Actinopteri; Cypriniformes; Cyprinidae.